CAGUAGCCGCGGGAAUACAGAGGGUGCGAGCGUUAAUCGGAUUUACUGGGCGUAAAGCGUGCGUAGGCGGCUUCUUAAGUCGGAUGUGAAAUCCCUGAGCUUAACUUAGGAAUUGCAUUUGAUACUGGGAAGCUAGAGUAUGGGAGAGGAUGGUAGAAUUCCAGGUGUAGCGGUGAAAUGCGUAGAGAUCUGGAGGAAUACCGAUGGCGAAGGCAGCCAUCUGGCCUAAUACUGACGCUGAGGUACGAAAGCAUGGGGAGCAAACAGGAUUAGAUACCCGCGUAGUCCCUGUCUCUUAUAC
This 301-nucleotide ribosomal RNA is filed under the name uncultured bacterium. RNAcentral's name for it is "partial 16S ribosomal RNA". It matches the Rfam family "Bacterial small subunit ribosomal RNA", at positions 509 to 807 of the family's 1533-position model. The record is from RNAcentral.